GACGAACGCUGGCGGCGUGCUUAACACAUGCAAGUCGAACGGAACGGUGCUGCUUUUUUGGCAUGCUCUAGUGGCGACAGGGUUAGUCAAACGUGAGUAACCUGCCCUUGACUUUUGGUUAACUUCAGGGAACUGGAGCUUAUACCGGAUGAGCGCUCCUCCUGCAUUGAGGGGGUUGGAAAGUUUCGGCGGUUGGGGAUGUACUCGCGGCUUAUCGGCUUGUUGGUGGGGUAGUGGCUUAUCAAGGCUUUGACGGGUAGCCGGCCUGAGAGGGUGACCGGCCACAUUGGGACGGAGGUACGGCCGAGACUCCUACGGGAGGCAGCAGUGGGGAAUAUUGCACAAUGGGCGGAAGCCUGAUGCAGCAACGCCGCGUGCGGGAUGACGGCCUUCGGGUUGUAAACCGCUUUCGCCUGUGACGAAGCGUGAGUGACGGUAAUGGGUAAAGAAGCACCGGCUAAGUACGUG
This 468-nucleotide ribosomal RNA is filed under the name uncultured bacterium. RNAcentral's name for it is "partial 16S ribosomal RNA". It matches the Rfam family "Bacterial small subunit ribosomal RNA", at positions 28 to 507 of the family's 1533-position model. The record is from RNAcentral.